AUUGAACGCUGGCGGCGUGCCUAACACAUGCAAGUCGAGCGGCAGCGCGGGAGCAAUCCUGGCGGCGAGCGGCGGACGGGUGAGUAACGCUUGGGAAUCUGCCUGUUAGUGGGGACAACCCGGGGAAACUCGGGCUAAUACCGCAUACGCACUACGGUGGAAAGCCGGGGACCGCAAGGCCUGGCGCUAACAGAUGAGCCCAAGUCGGAUUAGCUAGUUGGUAGGGUAACGGCCUACCAAGGCGACGAUCCGUAACUGGUCUGAGAGGACGACCAGUCACACCGGAACUGAGACACGGUCCGGACUCCUACGGGAGGCAGCAGUGGGGAAUAUUGGACAAUGGGGGAAACCCUGAUCCAGCGACGCCGCGUGGGUGAAGAAGGCCUGCGGGUUGUAAAGCCCUUUUCAGUGGGGAAGAAAGCCUCGACCUAACACGUCGGGGUCUUGACGUAACCCAUAGAAGAAGCACCGGCUAACUCUGUGCCAG
This 487-nucleotide ribosomal RNA is filed under the name uncultured bacterium. RNAcentral's name for it is "bacterial SSU rRNA". It matches the Rfam family "Bacterial small subunit ribosomal RNA", at positions 29 to 511 of the family's 1533-position model. The record is from RNAcentral.